AUAGUACUCACUCUGUCCGGAAACACUUGUCAUCAAAAUGGAUAAAAAUGAUGUAUCUUAAUGUAUUUAAGUUCUAGAUAUAUCUUUUUUUAUUCAUUUUAAUGACGAGUAUUUUCGGACGGAGGGAGUAGUUU
Molecule: non-coding RNA, 134 nt
Organism: Triticum aestivum (bread wheat)
Lineage: Eukaryota; Viridiplantae; Streptophyta; Magnoliopsida; Poales; Poaceae
Source: Rfam